CUACGGGAGGCACCAGUGGGGAAUAUUGCACAAUGGAGGAAACUCUGAUGCAGCAACGCCGCGUGGAGGAUGACACUUUUCGGAGCGUAAACUCCUUUUAUAUAGGAAGAAGAUGACGGUACUAUAUGAAUAAGCGCCGGCUAACUCCGUGCCAGCAGCCGCGGUAAUACGGAGGGCGCAAGCGUUACUCGGAAUCACUGGGCGUAAAGAGCGUGUAGGCGGAUUAAAAAGUCAGAAGUGAAAUCCUAUAGCUUAACUAUAGAACUGCUUCUGAAACUCUUAAUCUAGAAUAUGGGAGAGGUAGAUGGAAUUUCUGGUGUAGGGGUGAAAUCCGUAGAGAUCAGAAGGAAUACCUAUUGCGAAGGCGAUCUACUAGAACAUUAUUGACGCUGAGACGCGAAAGCGUGGGGAGCAAACAGGAUUAGAUACCCUGGUAGUC
RNAcentral lists this ribosomal RNA (439 nucleotides) under uncultured bacterium. Its description in RNAcentral is "partial 16S ribosomal RNA". It matches the Rfam family "Bacterial small subunit ribosomal RNA", at positions 339 to 795 of the family's 1533-position model. The record is from RNAcentral.